AUUGAACGCUGGCGGCAGGCCUAACACAUGCAAGUCGAACGAGCGGCGGACGGGUGAGUAAUGUAUGGGAACCUGCCCGAUGGAGGGGGAUAACUACUGGAAACGGUGGCUAAUACCGCAUACCAUCAGAUGAACCCAGAUGGGAUUAGCUUGUGGGUGGGGUAAAGGCUCACCUAGGCGACGAUCACUAGCUGGUCUGGGAGGAUGAUGAGCCACACUGGAACUGAGACACGGCCCAGACUCCUACGGGAGGCAGCAGUGGGGAAUAUUGCACAAUGGGCGCAAGCCUGAUGCAGCCAUGCCGCGUGUAUGAAGAAGGUCUUCGGGUUGUAAAGUACUUUCAGCGGGGAGGCGUUACCCGCAGAAGAAGCACCGGCUAACUCCGUGCCAGCAGCCGCGGUAAUAC
RNAcentral lists this ribosomal RNA (406 nucleotides) under uncultured bacterium. Its description in RNAcentral is "partial 16S ribosomal RNA". It matches the Rfam family "Bacterial small subunit ribosomal RNA", at positions 30 to 526 of the family's 1533-position model. The record is from RNAcentral.